UUACGAAGCGGUGUUAGGGCACGAAGAAUUUUGAUUUCUUAGGAAAGGAUCAUAUCCUUCUGGUAAG
This 67-nucleotide transfer RNA is filed under the name Varicospira cancellata. Its description in RNAcentral is "tRNA-Gln". The record is from RNAcentral. Lineage: Eukaryota; Metazoa; Mollusca; Gastropoda; Littorinimorpha; Rostellariidae.